AUUGCACGCUGGCGGAAUGCUUUAUACAUGCAAGUCGAACGGCAGCACGGACUUCGGUCUGGUGGCGAGUGGCGAACGGGUGAGUAAUGUAUCGGUACGUGCCCAGUCGAGGGGGAUAACGCAGUGCAAAUUACGCUAAUACCGCAUACGAUCUAUGGAUGAAAGCGGGGGAGCGCAUGACUUUCACACAUUAGUGCGGGCGCUAUCAGUUUAGGUAGUUGGUGGGGUAAAGGCCCACCAAGCCAACGAUCUGUGGCUGGUCUGUGAGGACGGCCAGCCACACUGGAACUGAGACACGGUCCAGACUCCUACGGGAGGCAGCAGUGGGGAAUUUUGGACAAUAGGCGAAAGGCUGAUCCAACCAUUCCGCGUGCAGGAUGAAGGCCCUCGGGUUGUAAACUGCUUUUGUACAGAACGAAAAGGUUUCUACUAAUACUAGGAGCUCAUGACGGUACUGUAAGAAUAAGCACCGGCUAACUACGUGCCAGCCGCCGCCGUAA
Molecule: ribosomal RNA, 500 nt
Filed under: uncultured bacterium
Lineage: Bacteria
Description: partial 16S ribosomal RNA
Rfam family: Bacterial small subunit ribosomal RNA
Source: RNAcentral